This is a non-coding RNA of Xyrichtys novacula (pearly razorfish), 755 nucleotides long. Lineage: Eukaryota; Metazoa; Chordata; Actinopteri; Labriformes; Labridae. The record is from the annotation of a GenBank genome assembly.
AAUUUUUUUUUGUCUUCUUAUUUUAACCAAAUUGUGACUACACGUAAUUCUUGUAAAAAAUAAAAAAAGGUUUAAUUAUGUCCUGACUUUGUUCCAGCAGUACUUGGACUUUUCUUCUGUUUUUCAGUUUUACAGCUCAGCUCUGUAUGAGUUUAUUUUUGUUGUGUGUCUCUGAUACUCCAUCAUAUGUAGAUAAAAUAUACAAUUUUACUUUAAUUUGGUUAUAUUACUCCUGUUUUAAAAUAAUUCUGUAUAGAAAACUAAUCCUCAAAUUACCCUGUAAACACCUAAACCAUCCAUACAAAGAUAUGAUAGUGUGAAAGAAAAAGUUGAUCUGUUUUCCUCUUUCAGUGUUUUAAAUUUCAUAUUUUUUUUAUUCAAGGGUAUAAAUUUAACCUUCAUUGUAGCUCCACCUCAUGAAAUCACACACAUUUGUCUCACAGGUUGUAUAAAACCGCUCAUAUAUGGUUCUGCAGUAAUCCUCACUGUUUCCAUGACUGUCAAAAGUGAUUUCAUCAUGGUUCUGGAUUAACUCUCUGAUGAUGAACUUUACUGCUCAGCACCUGAAGUUUGAUGUUUUAACACAACAUGCACUGUAUCAGCCAGAGACCUGCCUCAGUGUCCUCACAGGAGAUUUUGUACAUUGAGUUUCAGUCUCUGGUGUUUUUUUUUUUUUAAUGUUCAUUUUGAUGUUUUAAGAUUCACUUUUUUAUCUGUGCUGUUUGUAUGACAAGAAAUGGAAAUAUAUUUGCACA